ACACAAUCACAAUACCCAAAAUUAAAAUUUUUGGGCGUUACAUCAAGUCCUUGAAUAUUUUAGGUCAUCACAUUUUAAUCUAGUGCUACCAAUAUGUCAGGCAACACUAGCAGAGCAUUGUACCAAAUGCCUUAUUUUUGUAAUUAAUUUAUUUUCCAUACCAUUUUCAUAACUAAUUGUUUUUUAUAUGAUUUGGGUAAAAAAAUCCCUAUGUUGAAUAAUAUACAUUUUUUU
RNAcentral lists this long non-coding RNA (234 nucleotides) under Gossypium barbadense (sea-island cotton). RNAcentral's name for it is "long non-coding RNA (GBAR_LNC023517)". The record is from RNAcentral. Lineage: Eukaryota; Viridiplantae; Streptophyta; Magnoliopsida; Malvales; Malvaceae.